RNAcentral lists this transfer RNA (69 nucleotides) under Fukomys damarensis (Damara mole-rat). It matches the Rfam family "tRNA". Rfam says of the family: Transfer RNA (tRNA) molecules are approximately 80 nucleotides in length. Their secondary structure includes four short double-helical elements and three loops (D, anti-codon, and T loops). Lineage: Eukaryota; Metazoa; Chordata; Mammalia; Rodentia; Bathyergidae. The record is from Rfam by way of RNAcentral.
GGGAGUGCGGCUCAGUGGAAGAGUGCUUGCCUAGAAUGCAUGAGGCCCUGGGUUUGAUUCCCAGCCCCU